CCCGCCUGGGGGACGCACCGCCGCUGUCGAUGGGCCAGCGGCAGCGCGUCGCCCUGGCGCGCGCGGUGUUCGGCACGCCGAGGCUGGUCC
RNAcentral lists this transfer RNA (90 nucleotides) under Roseomonas fluvialis. RNAcentral's name for it is "Roseomonas sp. S08 tRNA-His". The record is from RNAcentral. Lineage: Bacteria; Pseudomonadati; Pseudomonadota; Alphaproteobacteria; Acetobacterales; Roseomonadaceae.